GACGAACGCUGGCGGCGUGCUUAACACAUGCAAGUCGAACGGAAAGGCCCUGCUUUUGUGGGGUGCUCGAGUGGCGAACGGGUGAGUAACACGUGAGUAACCUGCCCUUGACUUUGGGAUAACUUCAGGAAACUGGGGCUAAUACCGGAUAGGAGCUCCUGCUGCAUGGUGGGGGUUGGAAAGUUUCGGCGGUUGGGGAUGGACUCGCGGCUUAUCAGCUUGUUGGUGGGGUAGUGGCUUACCAAGGCUUUGACGGGUAGCCGGCCUGAGAGGGUGACCGGCCACAUUGGGACUGAGAUACGGCCCAGACUCCUACGGGAGGCAGCAGUGGGGAAUAUUGCACAAUGGGCGGAAGCCUGAUGCAGCAACGCCGCGUGCGGGAUGGCGGCCUUCGGGUUGUAAACCGCUUUCGCCUGUGACGAAGCGUGAGUGACGGUAAUGGGUAAAGAAGCACCGGCUAACUACGUGCCAGCAGCCGCGGUGAUACGUAGGGUGCGAGCGUUGUCCGGAUUUAUUGGGCGUAAAGGGCUCGUAGGUGGUUGAUCGCGUCGGAAGUGUAAUCUUGGGGCUUAACCCUGAGCGUGCUUUCGAUACGGGUUGACUUGAGGAAGGUAGGGGAGAAUGGAAUUCCUGGUGGAGCGGUGGAAUGCGCAGAUAUCAGGAGGAACACCAGUGGCGAAGGCGGUUCUCUGGGCCUUUCCUGACGCUGAGGAGCGAAAGCGUGGGGAGCGAACAGGCUUAGAUACCCUGGUAGUCCACGCUGUAAACGGUGGGUACUAGGUGUGGGGUCCAUUCCACGGGUUCCGUGCCGUAGCUAACGCUUUAAGUACCCCGCCUGGGGAGUACGGCCGCAAGGCUAAAACUCAAAGGAAUUGACGGGGCCCCGCACAAGCGGCGGAGCAUGCGGAUUAAUUCGAUGCAACGCGUAGAACCUUACCUGGGUUUGACAUGGAUCGGGAGUGCUCAGAGAUGGGUGUGCCUCUUUUGGGGUCGGUUCACAGGUGGUGCAUGGCUGUCGUCAGCUCGUGUCGUGAGAUGUUGGGUUAAGUCCCGCAACGAGCGCAACCCUUGUUCACUGUUGCCAGCACGUUAUGGUGGGGACUCAGUGGAGACCGCCGGGGUCAACUCGGAGGAAGGUGGGGAUGACGUCAAGUCAUCAUGCCCCUUAUGUCCAGGGCUUCACGCAUGCUACAAUGGCUGGUACAGAGAGUGGCGAGCCUGUGAGGGUGAGCGAAUCUCGGAAAGCCGGCCUCAGUUCGGAUUGGGGUCUGCAACUCGACCUCAUGAAGUCGGAGUCGCUAGUAAUCGCAGAUCAGCAACGCUGCGGUGAAUACGUUCCCGGG
This 1343-nucleotide ribosomal RNA is filed under the name uncultured bacterium. RNAcentral's name for it is "16S ribosomal RNA". It matches the Rfam family "Bacterial small subunit ribosomal RNA", at positions 28 to 1378 of the family's 1533-position model. The record is from RNAcentral.